UGCGAAGGUAGCAUAAUCACUUGUUCUUUAAAUGAGGACCUGUAUCAACGGCAUCACGAGGAUUCUACUGUCUCCCCCCUCUAAUCAGUGAAACUAAUCUCCCCGUGAAGAAGCGGGGAUAAACAUAUAAGACGAGAAGACCCCAUGGAGCUUUAAACCUGACGACACCCACUUGCUCUACACCCCAUUAUCCACGUGGCCCCUGUCUGCUCAGUUUUAGGUUGGGGUGACCACGGAGUAUAAAAAAACCUCCAUGAGAGAAGGGAUAAGUUCCCUUAUUAAAGAAUUACCUUUCCAAAAACUAAUAAAUUAAUUUUUAAUGAUCCGACAAUCGAUCAACG
Molecule: ribosomal RNA, 341 nt
Filed under: Boophis boehmei
Lineage: Eukaryota; Metazoa; Chordata; Amphibia; Anura; Mantellidae
Description: partial 16S ribosomal RNA
Rfam family: Bacterial large subunit ribosomal RNA
Source: RNAcentral